GUCUACAGCCAUGCUUCCCUGAACAAGCCCGAUCCUGUCUAAUCUUGAAAGCUAAGCAGGGUCAGGCCUGGUUAGUACUUGGACAGGAGACCACCUAGGAAGACCAGGUGAGGUAGGUA
Molecule: ribosomal RNA, 119 nt
Filed under: Pteropus alecto (black flying fox)
Lineage: Eukaryota; Metazoa; Chordata; Mammalia; Chiroptera; Pteropodidae
Source: RNAcentral